ACGGACGCUGGCGGCAUGCCUAACCCAUGCAAGUCGCACGAGACCUUCGGGUCUAGUGGCGCACGGGUGCGUAACGCGUGGGAACCUGCCCUUAGGUUCGGAAUAACUCCCCGAAAGGGGUGCUAAUACCGGAUAAUGUCUUCGGACCAAAGUUUUAUCGCCUUUGGAUGGGCCCGCGUUGGAUUAGCUAGUUGGUAGGGUAAAAGCCUACCAAGGCGACGAUCCAUAGCUGGUCUGAGAGGAUGAUCAGCCACACUGGGACUGAGACACGGCCCAGACUCCUACGGGAGGCAGCAGUGGGGAAUAUUGGACAAUGGGCGAAAGCCUGAUCCAGCAAUGCCGCGUGAGUGAUGAAGGCCUUAGGGUUGUAAAGCUCUUUUACCCGGGAUGAUAAUGACAGUACCGGGAGAAUAAGCUCCGGCUAACUCCGUG
RNAcentral lists this ribosomal RNA (432 nucleotides) under uncultured bacterium. Its description in RNAcentral is "partial 16S ribosomal RNA". It matches the Rfam family "Bacterial small subunit ribosomal RNA", at positions 29 to 507 of the family's 1533-position model. The record is from RNAcentral.